UCCUAUAGCUGAUUCCUCCCAGGUAA
RNAcentral lists this non-coding RNA (26 nucleotides) under Rattus norvegicus (Norway rat). Lineage: Eukaryota; Metazoa; Chordata; Mammalia; Rodentia; Muridae. The record is from RNAcentral.